RNAcentral lists this long non-coding RNA (1813 nucleotides) under Ananas comosus (pineapple). Its description in RNAcentral is "long non-coding RNA (ACOM_LNC018167)". The record is from RNAcentral. Lineage: Eukaryota; Viridiplantae; Streptophyta; Magnoliopsida; Poales; Bromeliaceae.
UAGGCGUGCGGCACGAAACUCGUCGAAGGUGAGAUCGGAAUAGGAGGGGGAGGGGGAGGAGGACGAAGAAGAGGAGGAGAGGGGAGAGAGGAGGAGGAGGAGAGAGAGGAGUUUGGGAAGGGGCGUUUUGGGAAGGGCAAUGAUUGGUGGGGGAAGGGGAGGGCGCUGCGGAGGAGGAGAAGGCGGAAGAAAAAAAUGGCUAAGGAAAAAAAAAGAGAGAGAGAGAAAAAGAAAAGAGAGAAAGAAUAAGGGUAUUUUCGUCCGAUGACAAAAAAUUCGGUCCGAAUCUCCAAAAUUAGAAAAGGUGACAUAGUUUUUCAAAAACUCAAAACUUGUAGAUUUUUUAUGCAAAUUGGCCUUAAAACUUAGUCUACAAAAGUUUACUUUUUAUUAUAUUAUAAAACAUAAAAUACUGUAGGACUUGUGUAUUUUUCAAAGCACCGUAUUUGUUCUAACUUUUAAUUAGGCUAAAUUACACAAAACCCCCUCUGUUAAAAUCCGAUUUUUUACUUUCCCCCUUGUCAUUUAAAAACCUACAUUUUGCCUCCUUGUAAAGUGAAAAAUAUUUACAGAGGGGGUACAGUGUGAAUUGUGAUGACCAAAUGACCAUUUUGCCUCUCACCAUUUUCGUCUUCUCCUUCAUCUUGCUCAUCUGCCGUCUCGAUCAGCCGCGGUUCACGCCUCGAUCGGCUGCGGUUCCUCUCCAUUUUCUUCUCCACCUGCUCCCUCUCUCCUCCUGCACCCUCGUCGCCCCUCAAUUUCGGCGACAGUAGGGAGGAAAUCGAGGUGCGUGGAUGGAGAGGUAGGCAAGGGCAACGGAGGCGAAGGCGAGGUGGCGAAGGAGGGCGAGAGGUUGUUUUUGGGGCGCAGACGGAGGUGUGGGCGAGGGCGAGGCAGUGGAGGAGGGCGAGGCGGCGAGGCGGAGGAGGGCGGAGCAACAGUAGAGAUGGCGGAGGAUAUUUUUGGCAUAAAAAAAUAUUUUAUACCGGAACCCUAACGGAUUACUAACGGUUGGGGGUGAAGUUAACAUUUUUCAUUUUACAAGGGGCAGUCUAGGUUUUUAAAUGACAAGGGAGGAAGUGAAAAAUCGAGUUUUGACAGGAAAGUUUUCUGUAAUUUAGCCUUUUAAUUAUUGAAUGUUUAGGAUUUAGUAGAUGUAGGUAAAAUGGUAAUCUAAGAGCUAAAAAGUUGAAAACAUACAUUAUUCAUGUAUUUUCGAAAGCAAUGCCAUUUUGAAUAAAAAAUAUUUAAUUAUAGACAUUAUGAUAAUUUUAGGUUAAAUGAUACUUUACAAAGAAAAAGGGAUUAAUUGCAUCAGCUCCUUGUAAAUAUAUCAAAUAACAAAUAUAUUUCUACAAAGUUUAACUUUUCAUUUUAUUCCUACAAAAGUUUAGUGGUAUUCAAAUUUGUCCAUCUGCUUUGUUACCGUUAGAGCACUGUUUAUUUCUUAAGAGUAGAUAAGUGAAAUGACAUUUUUGCCUUUACAAUUAUAUCCCUCCAAAAGCCCAACUGUUUAGAAUUAUGCAGAAAUAUCUUUCAAAAAGUAUUUUAUCCAAUAAAGUAAAAGGGAUAAAAAGGUCAAUUUAACUCAUUCAUUAAUUAGAGUUAAGUAUUUUAAUUAUGAUUAACUAUAUUUUUUUAAGGAAUCCUAACAUUAUGGGUAGGGAUAAAAAUUAAAAGUUAAACUUUGUAAAGACAUAUCUACUAUUUGAUAUGUUUACAGAAAAUUAUAUGCAAUAAACCUAAAAAAUUUAUAAUUUUAUAUAAUAAGAAAAAAAAUAUAAUUAAAUAUUGUUAUUUAGAAUAAAUAUGA